AGAGGCUAAGAGUUUGAGGCCAUAGCAGAAAUGCUUAUGGUUGUAGCCAUGUUAGAUUCCAGUGAAUCUGUGAAUUCUGCU
This 81-nucleotide ribozyme is filed under the name Crocodylus porosus (Australian saltwater crocodile). RNAcentral's name for it is "Mammalian CPEB3 ribozyme (ENSCPRG00005018274.1)". It matches the Rfam family "Mammalian CPEB3 ribozyme". From Rfam's summary of the family: The mammalian CPEB3 ribozyme is a self cleaving RNA located in the second intron of the CPEB3 gene which belongs to a family of genes regulating messenger RNA polyadenylation. This ribozyme is highly conserved and found only in mammals. The record is from Rfam by way of RNAcentral. Lineage: Eukaryota; Metazoa; Chordata; Crocodylia; Crocodylidae.